Molecule: ribosomal RNA, 82 nt
Filed under: Listeria monocytogenes
Lineage: Bacteria; Bacillati; Bacillota; Bacilli; Caryophanales; Listeriaceae
Also listed under: 1 other name
Source: RNAcentral
UCUGGUAGUUAUGGCGAGAAGGUCACACCCGUUCCCAUCCCGAACACGGUAGUUAAGCUUCUCUGCGCCAAUGGUAGUUGGG